RNAcentral lists this ribosomal RNA (253 nucleotides) under uncultured bacterium. Its description in RNAcentral is "partial 16S ribosomal RNA". It matches the Rfam family "Bacterial small subunit ribosomal RNA", at positions 524 to 776 of the family's 1533-position model. The record is from RNAcentral.
UACGUAGGGUGCAAGCGUUGUCCGGAAUUAUUGGGCGUAAAGAGCUCGUAGGCGGCUUGUCGCGUCGACUGUGAAAAACUGGGGCUUAACCCCGGGCCUGCAGUCGAUACGGGCAAGCUAGAAUUCGGUAGGGGAGACUGGAAUUCCUGGUGUAGCGGUGAAAUGCGCAGAUAUCAGGAGGAACACCGGUGGCGAAGGCGGGUCUCUGGGCCGAUAUUGACGCUGAGGAGCGAAAGCGUGGGGAGCGAACAGG